AGUGCCUCCUCCAUCAAUUAGACUGGCCUAGGGAGGUUUCUAGCAGACUUCAUUUCUACAUCCCCUGGGUAGGAGGCUCUCAGAGUCAUUAUUCCCCCUGAUUAAGGAAGCUCCACCGCCUUCCUGGGAAGUAGGAAUUCUACCCAUUUGACAGCUGGGGAAACUGAAGCCCAGAGAGCUCCUUGACUUGCCCAAGCCUGCGCAGGUUGGAGACGUCAUGGGACGUAUCUUAAUCUGGCUGGACAACGUCUCUGAUCCCAGAGCCAGAAAAAAAGCGCUGAGAGCCAUGGUCUUGUUGGCUUGUUCCCACCCCCAGGACAUGUUUCUGAGCUGUGUGGUGCACACGCUGUCAUCGGACAGGUAAGGAGCUGCUCUCUUAUCACCUCAGGCCAUUUUUUCUCUUCCUGCUCCUACUGACAGGCCACGGUCCGGGAGGGGUCCAUCGGGCUCACACAGUUAGAGGGAGAUUCCUGCUGUGCAGAGAGCUGUCCAUGCUCACUAAGAGGAGAUGCCAAGGCUCAACCACUGAGGAGCCAACCCUCCUCCUGCACUCCCCAGGAUGGAGACAUGCCAGUUUUCUGGAGAAUUCCAGCACUGUCCUGAUUUCUAUGGGUCACCCCACUUCCUCUCCCAUCCAGUACAGGGCCAAUAAAUGACUUUGGGGCUCACUCCACAUCCCUGGGUCAUGAGGUCUGGCUGCUCCCUAUUGUGUGAGAGAAGGCAGAGAUGGAAAAGGCCUAUGAGGUCCAUCUGUCUGUCCCCGGGGACCAGUGCAGGAUUGUUACCUGUAGUCAGAUCCAUAGUAAUUCCAUGGCUGAGGAAGUGGUGAAAAAACACAUUCAUCCUUAUGGAGCUGCACAGUAGAGGUAAAUCUCUUCAGACAGAAAGUUCCAGCCCUUAUUUUUGCCAA
This is a non-coding RNA of Chelonoidis abingdonii (Abingdon island giant tortoise), 910 nucleotides long. The record is from RefSeq and is a predicted model, not a curated record. Lineage: Eukaryota; Metazoa; Chordata; Testudines; Testudinidae.